Molecule: long non-coding RNA, 1806 nt
Organism: Lepus europaeus (European hare)
Lineage: Eukaryota; Metazoa; Chordata; Mammalia; Lagomorpha; Leporidae
Exons: 6
Source: RefSeq, a predicted model, not a curated record
AAGUCCCUGUGUGUUGUCUGUGAUCUCUGCAAAUUCAACUGAUAGUUUCCAAGUGAAGCAAUUGCUGUCCAGCUGUCUUUUAAAGUAACUUAAACAAUCCAGGACAACCAGAUUGUGAGCCCCUACCCAGCUGCUCACUGGCUAUGUGACCUUGAGAAAGCCACUCAACCCCUUUGCACACCAGACUUUUCAUCCACUCAACUAAGGGUUUAGACACAUCUUAAUCAUUCCUUUCUGCAGUUGACCUGGAAAUAAACUCACACGUGGAACCUCAAUAGCAUUGGUCUCAUGUGAGGGUACUGUCAGCAAAAGUAAAAGUCAUAACAUUCAAGGUUCUUCAAGCAAAUCAUCCACAGAAAGAUUCAUCCAAACAGAAGGAGAGCUCAACCUAGAAUUUUGGACCACUUUGAGGGUCCCCACUAACUGCUCUUGCACUCCAGUUAACAAGCAAGAAUCACAACUCUAUUUCACUUAAACUUCAUAGUAACUUUAUUAUUAUCGAAUAAUUGAUAUGGCUUGAUUUAUGGAUGAAGAGGAAAAGUCUUAGAGUUACUUCUGACAAAUGUUCUAGUCUUUGGAAGAUCUGCAGAUGACUCCCCGUGAGUGAAUGUCUUGUUGGCUGGGCUCACCUGCCCACAGGUGUGGUGUGUGGGCAUCUCAAGCCUAAGAGCAGAGAUCUGAUGCCCAUGGCUGUGCCUCCUGGAGAUUUGCCUGGCAUCUCAUUAUACAAUCGGAAGAAAGUCAUUAGGCCUCAGUUAUCUUCAACUAGGACAAAGAUGAAGAUUCCUAUCUAUUUAAUUCAAUGGCAUUGGUUCUCAAAUAUUCAAUGUAAGUCUCAGACCUUCAGGAAGAUGUCCCAAGACCCAUGAUGAACAAUGCCUUAUGUCCAGCGUUCUCCCUCUAAUUAAUUCCAGAGUUCCUUAUACGCUGGAGAAAAUGACAAACCCAAGAAGGUGACAAAGAAGAAAAACAAGAAAAUUAAAAGGAGGAAGAGGAAGAAAAAAAAAGAUGAGAGUGGAAGGAGAGGAGGGAAACAGAAGAAAGAAUCAUGGAGGAGAUAAAGCAUUGCCAUGUUUUCUGUGGCAAUAUUUACCUGUACUGUCAUGAUCCCAUGUUGGAGGGAUUGGUUCCAGGACCCCUGCGAACCCCAAAUCCACAGAUACUUACGCCCCUCACAUAAAAUGGCAUAGUAUUUGCAUACAACCUACACCCAUUCUCCUGUGCACUUUAAAUCAAAUGUAGAUGAUUAUAAUAUGUGAUAAAAUGUAAGUACUAUGUAAAUAGUUGCUAUACUAUAUUAUUUAGAUAAUUAUGACAACCAAAGAACACCUUAGCAAUUUAUUACAGAUGCAGUUUUUUUUUCCUGAAUAUUUUCCACCUACAGUUGGUUUAAUCCUUGAUGCAAAAGCUAUAGAUGGGACAAGUUAAACGUAGAUGCUUCCCUUUUACAGUUACUACACAGAAUGUUUUUUAAUAUUCCAUUCUGAGAUGUUCAGAGUAUUUUUCUAAACACCUGAGCUAUGCCAAGGAGAAAGAAUAGUUCCAGAAUUGAGUUUAACUGUCUAGAGGGUGUACUAUCUGGAACAACGAAUGAAUCUGCCAAAGAAAGGGAUCCUGUUUAUACACUGCAAGCUCAAGAGGUCAGCUUUGGACAAUUUAAAAUAACUGCCUAAUCCUUGUCACAGACAUUGAGUACUCAGAAAUAUUGAGGUCUAUUUUUUAACAUGUCUGAAUUUAUUUUGCUUUUGAAUUUUUAUUUUAGCAAACAGCUAUUUUUUUUUAUUUUAACAAACAGCAAACGUUAAA